GAAGCGGUGGCUCAGAGGUUAAGAGCACUGACUGCUCUUCCAGAGGACCCGGGUUCAAUUCCCAGC
This 66-nucleotide transfer RNA is filed under the name Cricetulus griseus (Chinese hamster). It matches the Rfam family "tRNA". From Rfam's summary of the family: Transfer RNA (tRNA) molecules are approximately 80 nucleotides in length. Their secondary structure includes four short double-helical elements and three loops (D, anti-codon, and T loops). Lineage: Eukaryota; Metazoa; Chordata; Mammalia; Rodentia; Cricetidae. The record is from Rfam by way of RNAcentral.